GACGAACGCUGGCGGCGUGCUUAACACAUGCAAGUCGAACGCUGAAGCUCAGCUUGCUGGGUGGAUGAGUGGCGAACGGGUGAGUAACACGUGAGUAACCUGCCCUCUUCUUUGGGAUAACGCCCGGAAACGGGUGCUAAUACUGGAUAUUCACUGAUUCUCGCAUGGGGGUUGGUGGAAAGGUUUUUUCUGGUGGGGGAUGGGCUCGCGGCCUAUCAGCUUGUUGGUGGGGUGAUGGCCUACCAAGGCUUUGACGGGUAGCCGGCCUGAGAGGGUGACCGGUCACAUUGGGACUGGGAUACGGCCCAGACUGCUACGGGAGGCAGCAGUGGGGAAUAUUGCACAAUGGGCGAAAGCCUGAUGCAGCGACGCCGCGUGAGGGAUGGAGGCCUUCGGGUUGUAAACCUCUUUCGCUCAUGGUCAAGCCGCAGCUUGGGGUUGUGGUGAGGGUAGUGGGUAAAGAAGCGCCGGCUAACUACGUG
Molecule: ribosomal RNA, 482 nt
Filed under: uncultured bacterium
Lineage: Bacteria
Description: partial 16S ribosomal RNA
Rfam family: Bacterial small subunit ribosomal RNA
Source: RNAcentral